This 425-nucleotide ribosomal RNA is filed under the name uncultured bacterium. Its description in RNAcentral is "bacterial SSU rRNA". It matches the Rfam family "Bacterial small subunit ribosomal RNA", at positions 355 to 796 of the family's 1533-position model. The record is from RNAcentral.
UGGGGAAUCUUGCGCAAUGGGCGAAAGCCUGACGCAGCAACGCCGCGUGCGGGAUGAAGGCCUUCGGGUUGUAAACCGCUUUCAGCAGGGACGAAAUUGACGGUACCUGCAGAAGAAGCCCCGGCCAACUACGUGCCAGCAGCCGCGGUAAUACGUAGGGGGCGAGCGUUGUCCGGAUUUAUUGGGCGUAAAGAGCUCGUAGGCGGUUGGGUAAGUCGGGUGUGAAAACUCAGGGCUCAACUCUGAGACGCCACUCGAUACUGCUCUGACUCGAGUCCGGUAGGGGAGCGUGGAAUUCCCGGUGUAGCGGUGAAAUGCGCAGAUAUCGGGAGGAACACCAGUGGCGAAGGCGGCGCUCUGGGCCGGAACUGACGCUGAGGAGCGAAAGCGUGGGUAGCAAACAGGAUUAGAUACCCCCGUAGUCC